AUGGUUCUGAAUGUUCAAGUUGCAAGAAAACUCAUCAAUGGCGAAGAGCAGUCGAAGAAAAAUGACUUACCUACCAGAAGUGUACUCCGGAGGUUCUUCAGAUCUAUCCAGAUAGUGAGAAAAUCAGAGGAUUUCACGUAUUUCAUCCUUACUCUUAUUCUCGUUCUCUUUCUUCAAUUUCACGAGGUUAUGUAUUGA
Molecule: non-coding RNA, 198 nt
Organism: Vicia faba (fava bean)
Lineage: Eukaryota; Viridiplantae; Streptophyta; Magnoliopsida; Fabales; Fabaceae
Source: the annotation of a GenBank genome assembly